Panicum virgatum (switchgrass) is the source of this 1526-nucleotide long non-coding RNA. RefSeq lists it as uncharacterized. The transcript has 3 exons. The record is from RefSeq and is a predicted model, not a curated record. NCBI's taxonomy places the organism in Eukaryota, Viridiplantae, Streptophyta, Magnoliopsida, Poales, Poaceae.
GAUUGCAGUGCUCGCGUGCGACGGACCAUGAGCGCGGCGCCUGCUACGGAGGAAGGAGGAUCGCGCUGAUCACGCGCCUACUAUAAGUGAUUAACCAUGCCGCGGUAAUCAUGCGGUCCUUGAUCACGAGCUUCCUUCUAUAGCACCAUCGCCCUCUCUCCGAUCCAAUCUCCCCUCCCACGCCUCAGCCUUCCUCCUCCCCUCCGCCGCCGCCGCGAGAUCUUCCCUGGUGGCGGCGCACCCUCUGUUUCCCUCCCGAUGCCACCGGCGACGCCCUCUCUCCGGCGUCUCCCUCCCUCUGCGCGGCAUGGAGCCGACGCGCUCCCUCAUGGAGGUCUUCCUCGACCACGACCUCGCCUGGGCCCGCCUCUGCCUCGCCGCGCUGCUCGCCGCAGCUGCCCGCAUCCUCGCCCUCCCGAGCCUCCCGCUCCCCUCCCCUGCACCACCGCACGCACGCACCUCCCCUGCCUCCUCGCCUUCCUCACGCGUUGCCCACCCCGCGCCCUCGCCUCCGUCAACGCGCCCCGCGCCCCCCGCUUCCCCUUCGCCAGCCCCACCAAGGACGACGGGGCCAGAAACAGAAGGAACCAGGGGAGGAAGGGGACCAUGCCGCCGACACGGAGGACGCGAAUUCGCAGAGUGGCGAGAAGGUGCGCGUGGAGCUGCAGUGGGAGCUCGAGAAGGAGCGCAGCGCCACAGCGUCCACUGCCGAGGAGGCCAUGGCCAUGAUCCUGUGCCUGCAGAAGGAGAAGUCUGCGCUCGAGAUCGAGGCCCGCCAGCAGCGACGUACCGCCGACGAGCGCUUUGCCACCGCCCUCAGCAAGGAGUCCAUCGUCGUCGUUGAGGGCGUCUUUUCCCUCCCCAAGGAGCCCCUCAAGGCCGCGACACAGUAGAUGUGAUUUGCAGGUGGAGAUUCAAGUAAGGAAGAUAUAUUGCAUCAAUAGGGCUAUCCCAACCCUUCCAAUUAACCUUGAAGAUGCGGCUCGGAGUGAGGCGGAGUUUGAGAAGGCUGAACAGGCUGGAGAAAAACUUUUUCGUGUUGGUCAAGAUCCCUGCUUGAACUACAGAGCUAUUGAUCUACGAACACCUGCGAACCAAGCAAUAUUCCGGAUCCAGUGUCAAGUCAAAAAUGUGAGUGUUUGAUACGAUAUGUACUGUUGUUCUUUUAUUGACUAAAGUGAGACUGCUAAUCCGGCUUGCUUCCAUACGACAUGGUGAAUUCUUUGAAGACAAGGGUGCAUGGGCUGAAGAUCAUUUUGGAUGAGAUCUACCAUUGAGAAGGAAGUCAAACAGGACCUGAUGUGGCCAUUUACUUCUUGUUUGGAUGGCUGAUCCGCUGGGCAGGUGGCUCGCGGAAUACUGCUGCCAGCCAGCCAGCCCAGCCAACCGAACAAGUCAUUAGAUAGUUGUAUAGUAUAGUGUCAUAUAUGAACAAGCAUAUGUGAAAAUAAUCUUAUAAAAAAUGUACCAUAAAAAUACUGCCCUUCAUACAUGAAUUCAGUUAAAGUAUUAAUUUUGAAUACUAA